UGGGGAAUUUUGCACAAUGGAGGAAACUCUGAUGCAGCGACGCCGCGUGAACGAAGAAGGUCUUCGGAUUGUAAAGUUCUGUCCUGGGUGAAGAUAAUGACGGUAACUCAGGAGGAAGCCCCGGCUAACUACGUGCCAGCAGCCGCGGUAAUACGUAGGGGGCGAGCGUUGUUCGGAAUUAUUGGGCGUAAAGGGUACGUAGGCGGUUUGUUAAGUUUGGCGUUAAAUCACGGGGCUCAACCCCGUUCAGCGUUGAAAACUGGCAAACUUGAGUAGUAGAGGGGACAGUGGAAUUCCUAGUGUAGCGGUGAAAUGCGUGGAGAUUAGGAAGAAUACCGGUGGCGAAGGCGACUGUCUGGAUACACACUGACGCUCAGGUACGAAAGCGUGGGGAGCAAACAGG
RNAcentral lists this ribosomal RNA (403 nucleotides) under Fusobacteriota bacterium. RNAcentral describes it as "Fusobacteria bacterium partial 16S ribosomal RNA". It matches the Rfam family "Bacterial small subunit ribosomal RNA", at positions 355 to 776 of the family's 1533-position model. The record is from RNAcentral. Lineage: Bacteria; Fusobacteriati; Fusobacteriota.